RNAcentral lists this ribosomal RNA (253 nucleotides) under uncultured bacterium. Its description in RNAcentral is "partial 16S ribosomal RNA". It matches the Rfam family "Bacterial small subunit ribosomal RNA", at positions 524 to 776 of the family's 1533-position model. The record is from RNAcentral.
UACGUAGGGUGCGAGCGUUGUCCGGAAUUACUGGGCGUAAAGAGCUCGUAGGCGGUUUGUCGCGUUGUUCGUGAAAACUCACAGCUCAACUGUGGGCGUGCGGGCGAUACUGGCAGACUAGAGUACUGCAGGGGAGACUGGAAUUCCUGGUGUAGCGGUGGAAUGCGCAGAUAUCAGGAGGAACACCGGUGGCGAAGGCGGGUCUCUGGGCAGUAACUGACGCUGAGGAGCGAAAGCGUGGGGAGCGAACAGG